This 103-nucleotide small RNA is filed under the name uncultured Acetatifactor sp. RNAcentral describes it as "RT-5 RNA". It matches the Rfam family "RT-5 RNA". Rfam says of the family: Clostridium (Firmicutes). The record is from RNAcentral. Lineage: Bacteria; Bacillati; Bacillota; Clostridia; Lachnospirales; Lachnospiraceae.
GCGCCUGUGGUGGGUCCGGCGCAGAGCACUUAUGUGUUUCGCAGGCAACCGUUCUGCGUACGAUCCUGUACAUUCAGGGAAUUUCCCUGAAUUUAAAUUCUUC